ACUUCAGUUACACGGCCGCAGAACUUGCAAGGGAGUCGAAGCAGGUUUGUACCUCUGACUAAGGAAGGAUUGAAAUCGACAACUAGCAGCUUCCGCCACUUGGAGUUUUCACAAACUGCAGAGAAGACAGGUUGCUUUCCUUGCCAUAAUCCAUCAAUUUCCAAAGAGUACAAAAGUCCUUGAAGAAAGAAGCCUAUAGCUGUCAAAAAGAUGCAGGAGUCAUCUCAGGAAGUCUGAAGAACCCCACCAGUAGAUCCUGGAAAAAAAAAAAAACAAACAAACAGAACCUAGAAAAGUAAAACUAACAGAGAAGCCUGUAUGUACACUUCAGUGCAAGAUAUUAUUAUUUUGAGUUCAGUGGAACUCCAUGGUAAUGGUGGCUGGGACCAACGUGCCGGGAUCAUGUCCAGUGGAAGAAGCAGGAUGUUUGAACAUAGUGUUAAGUUCAUUUAGAGGAGGCAGGGAAGAUUUUCUGCUUUACUGUCAGGGAAGAGAGCGAGUCCUCUGCCUUGGACUCUGGGACAGAGACAGGACCUGGUCACCUGCUGAGUGCCAUCGAUUCUUCUGUGGGAUCCUAACAGUGGCUAGCUAUUCUGUAUAUGUCCAAGCAUGGGAAACACAUUUCUCAGCUGAGUUAAAUAAGACACAAAGUGGCAAUUAAUGCUAUAGAAAUUGUUAGAUUACAUCAUGUGAAAUAGCUGCUAUCCAGCUAUGGUUCUUCAACCUACAAAAAUGGUAAUUUAAUAUGACUCAACCUCAUCUCUUAUUAAACUAUAAG
This 778-nucleotide long non-coding RNA is filed under the name Vulpes vulpes (red fox). RNAcentral's name for it is "lncRNA (ENSVVUG00000012114.1)". The record is from RNAcentral. Lineage: Eukaryota; Metazoa; Chordata; Mammalia; Carnivora; Canidae.